Molecule: ribosomal RNA, 465 nt
Filed under: uncultured bacterium
Lineage: Bacteria
Description: partial 16S ribosomal RNA
Rfam family: Bacterial small subunit ribosomal RNA
Source: RNAcentral
GACGAACGCUGGCGGCGUGCUUAACACAUGCAAGUCGAACGGAAAGGCCCCUUUGGGGGUACUUGAGUGGCGAACGGGGGAGUAACACGUGAGUAACCUUCCCUUGACUUCGGGAUAACUUCAGGAAACUGGGGCUAAUACCGGAUAGGAAUCCUUGCUGCAUGGUGGGGGUUGGAAAGCUUCGGCGGUUUUGGAUGGACUCGCGGCUUAUCAGCUUGUUGGUGGGGUAGUGGCUUACCAAGGCUUUGACGGGUAGCCGGCCUGGGGGGGCGACCGGCCACAUUGGGACUGAGAUACGGCCCAGACUCCGACGGGAGGCAGAAGUGGGGAAUAUUGCACAAGGGGCGGAGGCCUGAUGCAGCAACGCCGCGGGCGGGAUGACGGCCUUCGGGUUGUAAACCGCUUUCAGCAGGGGCGAAGCUUGUGGUGACGGUACCUGCAGAAGAAGCACCGGCUAACUACGUG